UUAUAUUCAGUGUAUGGAAUGAUUGUAAGGUGAUCAUGUCCAUAUGACAGGGGUUUUAAGGCCCGGUUUUGGUGUGCAUAUAGAGCGUUGUAAAUACCGUCGACUGGUCGGUGAUAAAUGGUGUCGGUGAUAAUUUGGUAACAACUUGAUGUUUGCUGAUAUAAAUUACAACGCCUGUAGUCGGUGCAAUUAUCCGUGUACAAAUAUGCAAAAGGUCCGUUAUAAAUAUAUAUAUCAAAGAAUUAGAGCAGUCCGUGCAGUGUUAUGAAGUUUGAAGUCGUUAUUGCUCACUGAAGUUAUCGUUGAAGUAUUAUAUAUAAUCUAGUGUUCUCCUCACCAAUCAUUAGUUAGAAUUUGUGAAAAUUAGAUAAAUUCGUUCGUUUUGUGAUGAAUUGAAAUCCAAGGAGAACAACCGGAUUUGAUAUUUCUACAAUAUCUGCAACUUUCAACAUUACCGGGAGGUGUGCAGAAUUAAUGAUGUGAAGACUGUGAAAUCAUUCAGUUGACAUUGUUCGUUUUUGCUUCGCAUCACGGUGUGGAGCUAUUAGUUUCAGUCGAUAUACACGCCACCUUGAAAUAAUUACUUAUCACAUAAAGAUUCUGAUUGGUUGCUUUAUGAUUCGGCUGAGAUACAGCAACAGCUAUUGGCUUAAUGAGAUAAAGAAUUACAGACUUUUCUCGUCCCAGGAUAAGACAUUAAAUGCCGGAAAAUUAACUAUGUGUAUUUCAGUUCCGAUCAUUAUUAAUUCAUGUUCGUUUUAUUAUGCAAAUAUUGCACACUGAAAUUCAAUAUUGAAAUAUUAAAUUUUUUUAACACCUGU
Molecule: long non-coding RNA, 821 nt
Organism: Mytilus californianus (California mussel)
Lineage: Eukaryota; Metazoa; Mollusca; Bivalvia; Mytilida; Mytilidae
Exons: 2
Source: RefSeq, a predicted model, not a curated record